AUCUCUUAAAGCCGUUCUCAGUUCGGAUUGUAGGCUGCAACUCGCCUACAUGAAGUCGGAAUCGCUAGUAAUCGCGGAUCAGCAUGCCGCGGUGAAUACGUUCCCGGGCCUUGUACACACCGACCGUCACACCAUGAGAGUUUGUAACACCCAAAGCCGGUGGGGUAACCUUUUGGAGCCAGCCGUCUAAGGUGGGACAGAUGAUUAGGGUGAAGUCGUAACAAGGUACC
RNAcentral lists this ribosomal RNA (230 nucleotides) under uncultured bacterium. RNAcentral's name for it is "partial 16S ribosomal RNA". It matches the Rfam family "Bacterial small subunit ribosomal RNA", at positions 1271 to 1500 of the family's 1533-position model. The record is from RNAcentral.